UGUCCUCCAUUGUAAGAUAAAAAGAGCUACCUAAGAGAUCUGUGGCUCAGUUCCUUUUGUUCAGUAUAUAUACCUCAGGGUAAAGGACCUAAGGCUCUGGCACUUCCUACAUAAUUUGUUCAUAAAAAUAAUUUUCUGUACCUGUAGGUGCAGGGAUUCAUAGUGAUUUUUCUGUUUUAAAAAAUAUCUUUCUACACUGUCUGAUUUUUAAAAAUGAGAUUAUCAGUAUAAAAGAAAUACAGCUAUUUUGUAAAAGAAAAAUACAGGAGAAAAAGGAUAAAGCUACUUUGUUUUAAAACGCAGUAUCAUUAAAACAAAAACAAACCAAAUUUGUUCUAAGUUUGACUUUAGAGUCAGGAAACUUAAGCUUACAUUUUUGGUCUGCCAUCUAUUACUUUUAAAGCUUGGGCAAAUUAUUCAUUUGAAGUCUAAAUUUAUUAAUCUGUUAAUGGGAACAGAUUAGAAAUCUUCAGAGAAGCUCUAGCCUUUGUAACAUUGUGACUAUAAUGCUGAGAACUGCUUCACUCAUCCCAUUCAUAUUUUAAAAAUACUAAUAUUUUGUGUUUGAGCAUUUUAAUAGGCUCAGAAACUUAAAAAUGAUGUUUCUUUUCUAACAACAUACUCUUUUCAAUGGGAUAUUAUGGUUGUUAUUAUUUAACAUGACAUUUAGGGACUCAACAUACAUUAAGGUGAUGGCACUAAGAUAAAUGUAGAAAUAACCAGUACCAUGUAAUUUUCAUAAGUGCUUAAAUUGUUGGUAAACAAUUUUAUGAGUUGGAGGUGUUGAAGCAAAUAUUAUUAAUAUUUGAACAUAAAAGCUGAUCAAAGGGGCCUGGUCCACAGAAGAUGUUUAUUUGAUGUAACAAAACAAUACAGUUAGUGUUAGAUCCAACCACAAAGAGCAAAAGGAAUGAAAAAUUUGUACAAUGUACAUAGAAAAAACAAGAUAUUUACUGUGACAACUAUAUAUUCCUAAAAUAAUGCUUCUAAAAUUACUCAAUUAUUGAAAUCUACAUGAAAAAAAGGAUGUUAAUAGCGACAAAGUGCAUAAAAUCAAACAUUGUAUUUUGAGCAAAUUAACAUACUAGGCAAUUUUGCUAAGAAUGCAUGAUUUUUUUUUUCUUGUUUACAGUCUGCUCAAAAUAUCUUUAUACCAACAGGGUAGGCAGAACAUUUAGGUUUAAUAUCAGUUACACAAUAUUAGCAUAAACUUCCACAACUACAUAGGGUAUUGUUUUCUUUUGAGCUGGCAAAGUGACUAUAGAAACAUCAGAUGAUUUCUCUGAAUUGAGAAUUUUAUCCAAAUAAAUGCCACAUACCUUCUAGAUAUAUGCAUAUCUUUCUAUAUUAUGUAAAUGGCUUUACCCAUUUAAAUAAUAAACCAUACAGCAUUUAAGAAUCAUUAUUAUAUGAUUAACAAUGUCAUGUUCCAGGUUUAACAAUUUCAUAGGCCAAAAAAAAUUUCUUCUUAAAAACUAGUUUUAUAAACGCAGAAUAUAUUCCAUGAGUAACUGCUGGUAUUUUUUAAGAAAAUAUAUUGUGCAAUUGUGGCUACCACGUACUGCUGGCAAAGCAUUAUUAUUUAUGUAAAAUGUGAAAAAAAAGGUGUAAAAAUUUUUCAACUGCCUAUGAUCAUGAUGAAAGGUUACUGCCUUCUUACAAAAAUUAUAUUGGCAUCUUCUUAAAAAUAAUUCGAAAAAGGGAUAAACUCCCUAGCCAAAAAUAAAUAAAUAAAAAGGUGCAUUUUUUAAAAUGAUGCUACUGCAAUGCAAUGGUUUAAAUACCAAAAAACUGAGAAAAUGAGCUGUCUGUGAUCCAGCAUUAAAGAACAUACUAAAAAAGAGCAUUAAUGUAAAUUAAGUAGAAAGGGGAUCAAAAUUGAACUAACCAAGUUUGUGCAGUAUUGUAGCCAGGCUUCUAAAAUUAGAUGUAGAAAAUAUAAAUAGACUGCUUUAGGUAAUGAGCCACCAGUGUCCAAAAAAAGGAAUGAAAUUAAGAAAAAGCUCAGUUAACUUGAUCCAAAGCUCUGAGUAAUUCUUCACCCUGCAGUA
Molecule: long non-coding RNA, 2051 nt
Filed under: Homo sapiens (human)
Lineage: Eukaryota; Metazoa; Chordata; Mammalia; Primates; Hominidae
Description: HIF1A antisense RNA 2 (HIF1A-AS2)
Source: RNAcentral